GACGAACCGUGCGAACGUUGUUCGGAAUCACUGGGCUUAAAGGGCGCGUAGGCGGGUCAGCAAGUCCGGGGUGAAAUCUUUCAGCUCAACUGGAAAAGUGCCUUGGAUACUGCUGGUCUUGAUGGAGGUAGGGGCGUGCGGAACUUCUGGUGGAGCGGUGAAAUGCGUUGAUAUCGGAAGGAACGCCGGUGGCGAAAGCGAUGUGCUGGACCUUUAUCUGACGCUGAGGCGCUAAAGUCAGGGGAGCAAACGGG
RNAcentral lists this ribosomal RNA (254 nucleotides) under uncultured bacterium. Its description in RNAcentral is "partial 16S ribosomal RNA". It matches the Rfam family "Bacterial small subunit ribosomal RNA", at positions 524 to 776 of the family's 1533-position model. The record is from RNAcentral.